Molecule: ribosomal RNA, 1705 nt
Filed under: Triticum aestivum (bread wheat)
Lineage: Eukaryota; Viridiplantae; Streptophyta; Magnoliopsida; Poales; Poaceae
Description: partial small subunit ribosomal RNA
Source: RNAcentral
GCACCGCAGCGGCAGUGGUCGCUGCAGUGGUGGCGCUCGCUCACGCGGCAGGGCAGGGCAAGGUGUAUUUUUGCUUUGGUGGGUGAGUGGGUGGUGCGUUAAGGGGAGGGGAGAGGUCCAGAGGAGGGCUUUGGGGGUUAAGCUUUUAGCUAAACCCCUAAAGCCGCAGGGUCUAGGCGAGGAGGCCGGCCAAGCGAGCCGGCGUGCAGGCUAGGCGCAAGCGCCGGCGGCAGCCUCGACGACUGGCCGGGCGCCGAGCUAAGCAGGCCCCCUAAACAACGCCCCCGAGAGCGAACGAGGGCUACCGCAGCAGGGGCCAGAGGAUGACCACGAUGGUGACGUCGGCGAAGCACGCCCAGAGGGGCCGGUGGCAGCAGACGGGGCUGACGCUGCCGCCGAAGGAGCUCGUCAAGGGCGUCGGAGGCGGCGGCGCGCCGCCGCCGCCGUCGCCGGCCGCGCCCCGGUACUUGGGCCACUAGCACGACGCCCCGCCGAGCGAGAGGCCGAAGCUCGAGAUGAUGCUCCUGCCGAGGCCGCUGCCCGACGCCGGCGACGGGCCGCUGCAGAGCGUGGAGGAGUACCCCAGCCCCAAGGUGGCGGACGAGCUGGUCAAGAGCUCCGACCUCCGACGGCGCGGCGCGGGCGGCCGCAGGUUCCGGCGCCACCUCAGCUACGGCAGGCACUGCCAGCGGCCCCCUCCGCCCCGGGUGACGCGCCACACGGUCCUCCGGAAGCUCGGGCCGCGGCGCCGAGCCCUCUACGGCACGUUCGUGCAGAUGGUGGUCCUGACGUAGGAGGGGACCGAGAGGGAGGCGUUGAGGACGGGGUAGACGGCGUCGCUCGAAGGCCGCCGUCGGCACGGACUCCGCCUCCGCCUACGGCCCGAGUGGUAGACCGCUGAGGGGGCGCCGCCUAAGCGGCAACCUUCCAAGCGGCCGCCCGGGUCUCUCGUUGACGGCCAACAGAUGUGCCUCGACCUACCACCAAAGUCGUUGCCGCAGCCCGGCUCCGCCCACUGUACCGGUCUUCCUCUUCCCGUCCACCUGCCGCCGCUUCCAGCCUAAGCGGCACAUAAAUCCUUGGACAAACCCACGAAACCGGCCCCGCCGGCCGGACUCUCAAGGAGCGUCAGGGCAUCACCGACUCGUUACAAGAAGGACCAUUGAGUGAAAGUUAACUACUAUCACCACUUAUUCAUCCUCAAUCAUAUUCCUCCUUUGGGGUCCACCACUCAAUAACCAAUCAAACUACAUUUACUUCCCGAACGUAAGGGGUGGAAAACAGAGCAAAAUUCUUAAGUCUCAACCGGUACUCGUUUGAUGAGUCUUUACUUUAAACUAUCGUUUAGUCCUUCUUGUUCGGGUUCGGAAAUUCUUACCCUCUCGUCACUUAAUACCCCCUUUAGUCAGUGACCGUUAUAAGAUCCGUUUCUCUUGUUAACCACAAGAGUGAAGACAUAACAAACACGUAUAUGACCUAAGCAAUUCUAUUUAAAGCUAAAACGUAAUACAACCAGGGUAUGUACUUUAAAGUUAUAUGAACCCAUGAAGAUAAAAAUAACAUAAUAAGGAGACCGAUUUGGAGAAAGAACAAAGUUGUAUUCUAUAGGAAUCAAGACAGUAUUCAACAUUGUUGGCGGCAGCUAAAUGAACAUCAACCAACUUAGAUCCCGACGAUUCACUACAAAACUAAAUAAAUAAAAAAC